AUUGACCUCGGAUCAGGUAGGGAUACCCGCUGAACUUAAGCAUAUCAAUAAGCGGAGGAAAAGAAACCAACAGGGAUUGCCUCAGUAACGGCGAGUGAAGCGGCAACAGCUCAAAUUUGAAAUCUGGCCCCGUCGGGGUCCGAGUUGUAAUUUGUAGAGAGUGUUUCGGGUGAGACCACGGUCUAAGUCCAUUGGAACAUGGCGUCAUAGAGGGUGAGAAUCCCGUAUGUGACUGUGGCUCGAGCCCAUGUGAAGCCUCUUCGACGAGUCGAGUUGUUUGGGAAUGCAGCUCAAAAUGGGUGGUAAAUUUCAUCUAAAGCUAAAUACUGGCUGGAGACCGAUAGCGCACAAGUAGAGUGAUCGAAAGAUGAAAAGCACUUUGGAAAGAGAGUCAAAAAGUACGUGAAAUUGUUGAAAGGGAAGCGCUUGCAACCAGACCUGUCCGUAGGUGAUCAGCCGCUGUUCUCAGUGGUGCACUCGCUCUGCGAUCAGGCCAGCAUCGGUUCCGGCGGUCGGAUAAAGGCCUUGGGAAUGUAGCUUCCUUCGGGAGUCUUAUAGCCCUCGGUGCAAUGCGGCCAGCCGGGACCGAGGACCGCGCUUCGG
This 603-nucleotide ribosomal RNA is filed under the name Usnea hirta. RNAcentral describes it as "eukaryotic LSU rRNA". It matches the Rfam family "Eukaryotic large subunit ribosomal RNA", at positions 1 to 605 of the family's 3401-position model. Lineage: Eukaryota; Fungi; Ascomycota; Lecanoromycetes; Lecanorales; Parmeliaceae. The record is from RNAcentral.